GACGAACGCUGGCGGCGUGCUUAACACAUGCAAGUCGAACGGAAAGGCCCUGCUUGCAGGGUGCUCGAGUGGCGAACGGGUGAGUAACACGUGGGUGAUCUGCCCCUUACUUUGGGAUAAGCCUGGGAAACUGGGUCUAAUACUGGAUAGGACCAUGCUGUAGGUGGUGUGGUGUAAAGAUUAGUUUCGGUAAGGGAUGAGCUCGCGGCCUAUCAGCUUGUUGGUGGGGUAAUGGCCUACCAAGGCGUCGACGGGUAGCCGGCCUGAGAGGGUGGACGGCCACAUUGGGACUGGGGUAAGGGCCAGACUCCUACGGGAGGCAGGAGUGGGGGAUAUUGCCAAAUGGGGGCAAGCCUGGUGCAGGGACGCCGCGUGGGGGAUGACGGCCUUCGGGUUGUAAACCCCUUUCAGCCAUGACGAAGGCUUCGUGUGACGGUAGUGGGAGAAGAAGCACCGGCUAACUACGUG
Molecule: ribosomal RNA, 468 nt
Filed under: uncultured bacterium
Lineage: Bacteria
Description: partial 16S ribosomal RNA
Rfam family: Bacterial small subunit ribosomal RNA
Source: RNAcentral